GGUGGGUGUGGUGGCGAGGGGCGCGGGUGCAGUAUGGAGAUACCAGUGAUUUACAAUAUAUUGAGGAGCUUCCUGUUUCUACUCACUACAAAAUGUGCAUAUUUAACAGAAUUGCAGCAACCCAUUCUAUUAACUAUUAAAACUCUGUUGCACCCGUGUCAGAGAAUGACUCCAAGGCCUCUUUAAAGUUUAAUGUUACCAGCGCCCUAGCAUUGUGUUCCUGAUUGCAUGAUCCGGAUUAUGGAUCAUAAGCAGUUUGUAACAUCAAAAUUAGAAUUUCAAAAUGCAAACUAUGAGUAGAGAAUCAAACAAUAUCAAUCAUACAAAUAUCGUAUAAUAUUGCUAUUAUUAUCAUUAUUAUGCUGUAAAUUUUGGUAUUUUGAAUUUUUUUUUUUUUAGUCUUGAGUUUUUAACGUAACAUUUUUUAAAUUAAAACUUAUUUUGCUAGAGUGAUCUACACUCUAGGUAAACCUAAGCUUUAGACAGACCCACAUUACACUGGCAGGCAUUCAGUGACAAAAAAGGACAAUAAGGCCUGUAUGGUACCAUAACAUAUAGAAGCUCAUCUCAUUUCUUAGAGAGAGGAAUAAGGAACAUGAAAGUAUAACGUACAUUUCGUC
RNAcentral lists this unclassified non-coding RNA (620 nucleotides) under Hevea brasiliensis (rubber tree). Lineage: Eukaryota; Viridiplantae; Streptophyta; Magnoliopsida; Malpighiales; Euphorbiaceae. The record is from RNAcentral.